CCCGUCCUGCAGCUCGGCUCCGGCCCCACGCUGCGAGUGCGCGUGGGGUUCCCGUCCCACACUGGGAUGGUGCGGGGAGAAAUACCCCCUCCGGGGCUGCUCGGAGCGUGGGGCAGUGGGACACGCUGCUUAACUUCUGCUGGCUGCAUCUCCUGGAAGGAAAAUGAGCUGGGAUUGCAUUCCUGCAAGCAGUAAUGGGAGGUUUUAACAUCCACGCUGACCAAGCAGCAGGAUGCCAACCCAGUGAUAUAAUUGAAGUCUCCUGGCUCCGAUUUCUACCAUCCUCAUUCUGAUCACUGCGGGAUGAAAGAAGAUAUUUUCGACGUGGGGAAGGAAAUACCCUACUGCAUUGAGCAGGCACAGACCUGACCAGCAUGUGUGGGGAUGUUUGGCACCAGUGCUUCAAAGGAAAAUGGUGAAGAGGAACGAAGGAAAUAUUGUCCUUUUUCUUGAGCUGGUUGUUUUGUCUACUUGCUCCAUGAACUCCC
This 488-nucleotide long non-coding RNA is filed under the name Gallus gallus (chicken). RNAcentral's name for it is "lncRNA (ENSGALG00010018074.1)". Lineage: Eukaryota; Metazoa; Chordata; Aves; Galliformes; Phasianidae. The record is from RNAcentral.